GCAGUAGCCGCGGUAAUACGGAGGGUGCAAGCGUUAAUCGGAAUUACUGGGCGUAAAGCGCACGCAGGCGGUCUGUCAAGUCAGAUGUGAAAUCCCCGGGCUUAACCUGGGAACUGCAUUUGAAACUGGCAGGCUAGAGUCUUGUAGAGGGGGGUAGAAUUCCAGGUGUAGCGGUGAAAUGCGUAGAGAUCUGGAGGAAUACCGGUGGCGAAGGCGGCCCCCUGGACAAAGACUGACGCUCAGGUGCGAAAGCGUGGGGAGCAAACAGGAUUAGAUACCCGCGUAGUCCCUGUCUCUUAUAC
This 302-nucleotide ribosomal RNA is filed under the name uncultured bacterium. Its description in RNAcentral is "partial 16S ribosomal RNA". It matches the Rfam family "Bacterial small subunit ribosomal RNA", at positions 508 to 807 of the family's 1533-position model. The record is from RNAcentral.